CAGCUUGUUGGUGAGGUAAUGGCUCACCAAGGCGUCGACGGGUAGCCGGCCUGAGAGGGUGACCGGCCACACUGGGACUGAGACACGGCCCAGACUCCUACGGGAGGCAGCAGUGGGGAAUAUUGCACAAUGGGCGCAAGCCUGAUGCAGCAACGCCGCGUGAGGGAUGACGGCCUUCGGGUUGUAAACCUCUUUUAGCAGGGAAGAAGCGAAAGUGACGGUACCUGCAGAAAAAGCGCCGGCUAACUACGUGCCAGCAGCCGCGGUAAUACGUAGGGCGCAAGCGUUAUCCGGAAUUAUUGGGCGUAAAGAGCUCGUAGGCGGUUUGUCGCGUCUGCUGUGAAAUCCCGAGGCUCAACCUCGGGCCUGCAGUGGGUACGGGCAGACUAGAGUGCGGUAGGGGAGAUUGGAAUUCCUGGUGUAGCGGUGGAAUGCGCAGAUAUCAGGAGGAACACCGAUGGCGAAGGCAGAUCUCUGGGCCGUAACUGACGCUGAGGAGCGAAAGGGUGGGGAGCAAACAGGCUUAGAUACCCUGGUAGUCCACCCCGU
RNAcentral lists this ribosomal RNA (549 nucleotides) under Microbacterium sp. Its description in RNAcentral is "bacterial SSU rRNA". It matches the Rfam family "Bacterial small subunit ribosomal RNA", at positions 242 to 803 of the family's 1533-position model. Lineage: Bacteria; Bacillati; Actinomycetota; Actinomycetes; Micrococcales; Microbacteriaceae. The record is from RNAcentral.